GACGAACGCUGGCGGCGUGCUUAACACAUGCAAGUCGAGCGGUAAGGCCCUUUCGGGGGUACACGAGCGGCGAACGGGUGAGUAACACGUGGGUGACCUGCCCUUAGCUCUGGGAUAAGCCUGGGAAACUGGGUCUAAUACCGGAUAUGACUCCAUAACGCAUGUUGUGGGGUGGAAAGCCUUGUGCGGCUAGGGAUGGGCUCGCGGCCUAUCAGCUUGUUGGUGGGGUGAUGGCCUACCAAGGCGACGACGGGUAGCCGGCCUGAGAGGGCGACCGGCCACACUGGGACUGAGACACGGCCCAGACUCCUACGGGAGGCAGCAGUGGGGAAUCUUGCGCAAUGGGCGAAAGCCUGACGCAGCGACGCCGCGU
This 373-nucleotide ribosomal RNA is filed under the name uncultured bacterium. RNAcentral describes it as "bacterial SSU rRNA". It matches the Rfam family "Bacterial small subunit ribosomal RNA", at positions 28 to 402 of the family's 1533-position model. The record is from RNAcentral.